AGUGAACGCUGGCGGUAGGCCUAACACAUGCAAGUCGAACGGCAGCACAGGAGAGCUUGCUCUCUGGGUGGCGAGUGGCGGACGGGUGAGGAAUACAUCGGAAUCUACUCUGUCGUGGGGGAUAACGUAGGAAAACUUACGCUAAUACCGCAUACGACCUACGGGUGAAAGCAGGGGAUCUUCGGACCUUGCGCGAUUGAAUGAGCCGAUGUCGGAUUAGCUAGUUGGCAGGGUAAAGGCCCACCAAGGCGACGAUCCGUAGCUGGUCUGAGAGGAUGAUCGGCCACACUGGAACUGAGACACGGUCCAGACUCCUACGGGAGGCAGCAGUGGGGAAUAUUGGACAAUGGGCGCAAGCCUGAUCCAGCCAUACCGCGUGGGUGAAGAAGGCCUUCGGGUUGUAAAGCCCUUUUGUUGGGAAAGAAAUCCAGCUGGCUAAUACCCGGUUGGGAUGACGGUACCCAAAGAAUAAGCACCGGCUAACUUCGUGCCAGCCGCCGCAGUAA
This 506-nucleotide ribosomal RNA is filed under the name uncultured bacterium. Its description in RNAcentral is "partial 16S ribosomal RNA". It matches the Rfam family "Bacterial small subunit ribosomal RNA", at positions 29 to 523 of the family's 1533-position model. The record is from RNAcentral.